This 261-nucleotide unclassified non-coding RNA is filed under the name Hyphodermella rosae. RNAcentral's name for it is "partial internal transcribed spacer region". The stretch from base 1 to 46 matches the Rfam family "Eukaryotic small subunit ribosomal RNA", at positions 1786 to 1831 of the family's 1831-position model. Lineage: Eukaryota; Fungi; Basidiomycota; Agaricomycetes; Polyporales; Phanerochaetaceae. The record is from RNAcentral.
AAGUCGUAACAAGGUUUCCGUAGGUGAACCUGCGGAAGGAUCAUUAACGAGUUUUGAAAGGGGUUGUCGCUGGCCUUUCACGAGGCAUGUGCACACCCUGCUCAUCCACUCUCAACCUCUGUGCACUUAUUGUAGGUCGGUGGAAGGCUUGCAAGAGCUGGAAGCCUGCUUAUGUUUUACUACAAACGCUUCAGUUAUAGAAUGUUUACUUGCGUAUAACGCAUUUAUGUACAACUUUCAGCAACGGAUCUCUUGGCUCUC